AUACUUACCUGGCAGAGGUGAUUACAUGAUCAGGAAGGUGGUUUCUCCAGGGUGAGGCUCACCCAUUGCACUCCCAGUGUGCUGACCCCUGAGAUUUCCCCAAAUGUGGAAAACUCAACUGCGUAAUUUAUAAUAGUGGGGGACUGUGUUCACGCUCUCCCCUA
Molecule: small nuclear RNA, 164 nt
Organism: Suncus etruscus (white-toothed pygmy shrew)
Lineage: Eukaryota; Metazoa; Chordata; Mammalia; Eulipotyphla; Soricidae
Product: U1 spliceosomal RNA
Exons: 1
Source: RefSeq, a predicted model, not a curated record